RNAcentral lists this microRNA (22 nucleotides) under Aedes aegypti (yellow fever mosquito). RNAcentral describes it as "aae-miR-11894b". Lineage: Eukaryota; Metazoa; Arthropoda; Insecta; Diptera; Culicidae. The record is from miRBase by way of RNAcentral.
UUUACCAUUUCAAUAUGACCUA